ACGCUCGACACCUACGGGAGCAGCAGUGGGGAAUAUUGCACAAUGGGGGAAACCCUGAUGCAGCGACGCCGCGUGGAGGAAGAAGGUCUUCGGAUUGUAAACUCCUGUUGUUGGGGAAAAAGAGGAUGGUACCCAACAAGGAAGUGACGGCUAACUACGUGCCAGCAGCCGCGGUAAUCUGAGCGGGCGUGGCGAAGGC
RNAcentral lists this ribosomal RNA (199 nucleotides) under uncultured bacterium. Its description in RNAcentral is "partial 16S ribosomal RNA". It matches the Rfam family "Bacterial small subunit ribosomal RNA", at positions 328 to 544 of the family's 1533-position model. The record is from RNAcentral.